AUAGCCAACCAUGAAUCUUCAAUCUCUUUGAGUCUGCUUGGUGAUAUCGAUUCUGGGAUAAUGGACGUUGAUCUAAUUCAGGUCAUUGGGACCACAGCCAUAUUAAUUAAGUUAUUUGGAAUACGUGCUGCCUUCAAGUUUUCAACUGAAGGGUGUAGUAUUAAUUGUAUCCCUAAGGCGAAUUGGAUAUAUUUAUAUAUUGUUUUAAAUUGUUUGCCUAAGAUCUGUUAGCCUCGGUAGUUCAGUGACCCUAUCCCUUUGUCGUGGAUUAGACGAUAGAUUUUGUCUAUUGUUAUCCUUUCUCAAGGAAUGGUAGGGUAAAACUACCUUGGCCAAAAAAGUAAAACAAAAAGGCGUUGCGUCCUUGUGGGAAGAUUAUUCAAGGAACAGGAAGUUUGGUCGUGUUUGCUGUCUUUGAAAAAUGAGGAAGCGCAUUCAAGACCAAAAAGGCUCGUUUUUCCUUUACUGGUAAGCCUCUAAAUCCCCUGUGGCAAGGUCAAAGCUCUUUCUACUUCAGCUUCUCAUCAGCACACGUAAUGGAACUUCAAUGUACAGAAACGAAGGUGUUUUACUGCUAAUUAUUUGUCUAUUUAAUUUUUGUCUAUUUAAUUUUAAUCAGCAAGGACGUUGCACGCUAAGACUUCAUACCCGUAUGCUAAUUAAUCCCUAAGUAUUAAUGAUGCAUCAACUUGGAUUGAAAUGCAGCAUAAUCUCCGGGAGAAACCUUAUCUUCAAUAGAAAACAAGUUGUUUUCCCGAAAAAAACAAAAAAAACAAUAUGCCUUGUGUUUUGUUUACGUCCACCUAUCGUAGCCGGGAGGUAGAAUAAAGAAUCAGUGGCCACUC
Long non-coding RNA from Daphnia magna, 845 nucleotides. RefSeq lists it as uncharacterized. The record is from RefSeq and is a predicted model, not a curated record. NCBI's taxonomy places the organism in Eukaryota, Metazoa, Arthropoda, Branchiopoda, Diplostraca, Daphniidae. The transcript has 3 exons.